This 459-nucleotide ribosomal RNA is filed under the name uncultured bacterium. Its description in RNAcentral is "partial 16S ribosomal RNA". It matches the Rfam family "Bacterial small subunit ribosomal RNA", at positions 338 to 795 of the family's 1533-position model. The record is from RNAcentral.
CCUACGGGUGGCAGCAGUGAGGAAUAUUGGUCAAUGGCCGGAAGGCUGAACCAGCCAAGCCGCGUGAGGGAGGAAGGCGCAGAGCGUCGCCGCCCUCUUUUGCCGGGGGUCAAAAGGCCGGCCUCGUCCGGUCCUGAGGGUACCCGGAGAAAAAGCAUCGGCUAACUCCGUGCAAGCGGCCGCGGUAAUACGGGGGCGGCGAGCGUUAUCCGGAUUCAUGGGGUUUAAAGGGUGCGCAGGCGGGCCUUUAAGCCGGCGGUGAAAUCGCGGGGCUCAACCCCGCCGAGCCGUCGGAACUGGGGGCUUUGAGUGCGGCGGAGGCAUGCGGAAUGCGCGGUGUAGCGGUGAAAUGCAUAGAUAUCGAGCAGAACCCCGAUUGCGAAGGCAGCGUGCCGUGCCGCCACUGACGCUGAGGCACGAAAGCGCGGGGAGCGAACAGGAUUAGAUACCCUGGUAGUC